CGCCAAGCCCCGCCCCAGAUGAGUGCGCAGUAUGAGGACCGCUGGCCGGGACCCAGUGAGCGCGGGACUACAAUUCCCAAAGGACGGUAGCACUCAGCGCCCCGCCAACAGGUACCCGGCGGCUCGCUUCGCGCACACGCGGCAGGCGGUGGCGGGAUUCUGCCGCGUGCGCUUUCCCGCCCCGCCUCGCCUAGCCUCGUCCUGCGCUCGCCACGCCUCGGGCUGUCCGUUGGGCCACGCAGACCGCGCUGCGCUCGCUCCGUCGCGGCUCCGCGUGCCCCACCUUCUGGCUAGUUUUUUCUAGAGCCCAGGCUCCGCCCGUUUCCCGCUUCCAGGGCCCGGUUCGUUCCCGCCCGCACCCGUCCCUCUCCUCUGCACCCCUGCUGCUUCUGCUUUGAAGGCGGAGGCUCCAUGUUGUCCCCUCAGCGAGUGGCAGCAGCUGCCUCAAGAGGAGCAGUGUAAUGUGUGUGCUGUUGAAAUGACCGUUUCACUUGCGAAAUCGAAGAGCAAAAAGGAAAAGAACAGUGAAGAAUUUUUAAAUGAGUCUCAGUUCUCAAAUUCAAAUACGAAGCAAUGGAACGUUUUGUCAGUCUUAGAAUAACGGACCAAAAAUAUGAUGCCAUGGAGAGCAGCAAGCCUGGUCCAGUGCAGGUUGUUUUGGUUCAGAAAGAUCAACAUUCCUUUGAGCUAGAUGAGAAAGCCUUGGCCAGCAUCCUCUUGCAGGACCACAUCCGAGAUCUUGAUGUGGUGGUGGUUUCAGUGGCUGGUGCCUUCCGAAAGGGCAAGUCCUUCAUUCUGGAUUUUAUGCUACGAUACUUAUAUUCUCAG
This 828-nucleotide long non-coding RNA is filed under the name Homo sapiens (human). Its description in RNAcentral is "non-protein coding lnc-PLA2G16-2:1". Lineage: Eukaryota; Metazoa; Chordata; Mammalia; Primates; Hominidae. The record is from RNAcentral.